This is a non-coding RNA of Clavulina sp. PMI_390, 97 nucleotides long. The record is from the annotation of a GenBank genome assembly. Lineage: Eukaryota; Fungi; Basidiomycota; Agaricomycetes; Cantharellales; Hydnaceae.
GACAUUGUAUCCAAGUGGUUACGGAGAUUGACUUGAAUUGUAUAUUCAUCGUAUCAAUUGGGCUUCGCCCGCGCAGGUUCAAAUCCUGUCAAUGUCG